This 433-nucleotide ribosomal RNA is filed under the name uncultured bacterium. Its description in RNAcentral is "partial 16S ribosomal RNA". It matches the Rfam family "Bacterial small subunit ribosomal RNA", at positions 29 to 507 of the family's 1533-position model. The record is from RNAcentral.
AACGAACGCUGGCGGCAUGCCUAACACAUGCAAGUCGAACGAGACCUUCGGGUCUAGUGGCGCACGGGUGCGUAACGCGUGGGAAUCUGCCCUUGGGUUCGGAAUAACAGUUGGAAACGACUGCUAAUACCGGAUGAUGACGUAAGUCCAAAGAUUUAUCGCCCAGGGAUGAGCCCGCGUAGGAUUAGCUAGUUGGUGGGGUAAAGGCCUACCAAGGCGACGAUCCUUAGCUGGUCUGAGAGGAUGAUCAGCCACACUGGGACUGAGACACGGCCCAGACUCCUACGGGAGGCAGCAGUGGGGAAUAUUGGACAAUGGGCGAAAGCCUGAUCCAGCAAUGCCGCGUGAGUGAUGAAGGCCGUAGGGUUGUAAAGCUCUUUUACCCGGGAUGAUAAUGACAGUACCGGGAGAAUAAGCCCCGGCUAACUCCGUG